This 556-nucleotide ribosomal RNA is filed under the name Stenotrophomonas rhizophila. RNAcentral describes it as "bacterial SSU rRNA". It matches the Rfam family "Bacterial small subunit ribosomal RNA", at positions 84 to 636 of the family's 1533-position model. Lineage: Bacteria; Pseudomonadati; Pseudomonadota; Gammaproteobacteria; Lysobacterales; Lysobacteraceae. The record is from RNAcentral.
AUGGGUGGCGAGUGGCGGACGGGUGAGGAAUACAUCGGAAUCUACCUUUUCGUGGGGGAUAACGUAGGGAAACUUACGCUAAUACCGCAUACGACCUUCGGGUGAAAGCAGGGGACCUUCGGGCCUUGCGCGGAUAGAUGAGCCGAUGUCGGAUUAGCUAGUUGGCGGGGUAAAGGCCCACCAAGGCGACGAUCCGUAGCUGGUCUGAGAGGAUGAUCAGCCACACUGGAACUGAGACACGGUCCAGACUCCUACGGGAGGCAGCAGUGGGGAAUAUUGGACAAUGGGCGCAAGCCUGAUCCAGCCAUACCGCGUGGGUGAAGAAGGCCUUCGGGUUGUAAAGCCCUUUUGUUGGGAAAGAAAAGCAGUCGGCUAAUACCCGGUUGUUCUGACGGUACCCAAAGAAUAAGCACCGGCUAACUUCGUGCCAGCAGCCGCGGUAAUACGAAGGGUGCAAGCGUUACUCGGAAUUACUGGGCGUAAAGCGUGCGUAGGUGGUUGUUUAAGUCUGUUGUGAAAGCCCUGGGCUCAACCUGGGAAUUGCAGUGGAUACUGG